Long non-coding RNA from Scleropages formosus (Asian bonytongue), 690 nucleotides. RefSeq lists it as uncharacterized. The record is from RefSeq and is a predicted model, not a curated record. The transcript has 3 exons. Lineage: Eukaryota; Metazoa; Chordata; Actinopteri; Osteoglossiformes; Osteoglossidae.
UUUCAUUCGAUUUUGGUAUGGAUGCAGAGGAAGGACACGCAGCAUCGAAACAGCUUCUGAAACGAUUUUCUGCGUAAGGUUCAAAGGGCGCACACUGACACGUUUCCACGGUGUCUGUCACAAAGAGAGAGAGAGAGACAGAGAAAUAUGGUAGAAGACAUCAUCAGUAUGAGUAAUUGAACCAGUGCAGCUAUAUCCAAAAUUAAAUCUUAAAUUUCUCUCAAGCCAGGGAACACUCCAUCACUCCGCCAGGUUUCCUUUCUCCCCAACAGAAUUCAGUUCCGCCAAUUUCGAAUUACAGAUGUAAUUAAAUAGCAUCAGUUUUGUUCAAGUGGGGCCCUCACACGAAUUUAUUUUAAUAAAAAAGGGGGGUCGCAGAAACCCUAUGCUAUUCCUAUGCCCCAGACUGUACAGCAGAGAUUUAGGGAGGUGGGCGUGGUCAGAGCUACGAGACUGGUACAGUAUUCCUAGUGCCCCUGAACUUCAUCUAAACUAUGCUUAACCUUUCUACUCUCAUACCUCACCUGAAAACGAACUUUGCGUUUAAACUUCCCGUUCUUUCCAAAAUUCAUCAAUGAAGCAUUCAAGAUAUAAUCAAGAUCUUAGAUUUUAUUGUUGCCAAUUCUUCUCUCACACACGCACACACUGUCUGAAACCGCUUGUCCCAUAUGGGGUCACGGUGAGCCAGAG